GAUGAACGCUGGCGGCGUGCUUAACACAUGCAAGUCGAACGAAGCACUCUAUUUGAUUUUCUUCGGAAAUGAAGAUUUUGUGACUGAGUGGCGGACGGGUGAGUAACGCGUGGGUAACCUGCCUCAUACAGGGGGAUAACAGUUGGAAACGACUGCUAAUACCGCAUAAGCGCACAGGAUCGCAUGGUCCGGUGUGAAAAACUCCGGUGGUAUGGGAUGGACCCGCGUCUGAUUAGCCAGUUGGCAGGGUAACGGCCUACCAAAGCGACGAUCAGUAGCCGACCUGAGAGGGUGACCGGCCACAUUGGGACUGAGACACGGCCCAAACUCCUACGGGAGGCAGCAGUGGGGAAUAUUGCACAAUGGGGGAAACCCUGAUGCAGCGACGCCGCGUGAGCGAAGAAGUAUUUCGGUAUGUAAAGCUCUAUCAGCAGGGAAGAAG
RNAcentral lists this ribosomal RNA (442 nucleotides) under uncultured bacterium. RNAcentral's name for it is "bacterial SSU rRNA". It matches the Rfam family "Bacterial small subunit ribosomal RNA", at positions 28 to 450 of the family's 1533-position model. The record is from RNAcentral.